RNAcentral lists this ribosomal RNA (443 nucleotides) under uncultured bacterium. RNAcentral describes it as "partial 16S ribosomal RNA". It matches the Rfam family "Bacterial small subunit ribosomal RNA", at positions 338 to 795 of the family's 1533-position model. The record is from RNAcentral.
CCUACGGGUGGCAGCAGUGGGGAAUAUUGGGCAAUGGGCGCAAGCCUGACCCAGCAACGCCGCGUGAAGGAAGAAUGCCUUCGGGUUGUAAACUUCUUUUGUUAGGGACGAAGCAAGUGACGGUACUUGAUGAAUAAGUCACGGUUAACUACGUGCCAGCAGCCGCGGUAAUACGGAGGUGGCAAGCGUUAUCCGGAUUUAGCGGGUGUAAAGGGUGUGUAGGCGGGAAUGCAAGUCAGAUGUGAAAUCUAUGGGCUCAACCCAUAGACUGCAUUUGACACUGGAUUUCUUGAGUGCUGGAGAGGCAGGCGGAAUUCCGGGUGUAGCGGUGAAAUGCGUAGAUAUACGGAGGAACACCAGUGGCGAAGGCAGAUUGCUAAACAGUAACUGACGCUGAGGCGCGAAAGCGUGGGGAGCAAACAGGAUUAGAUACCCCAGUAGUC